UACGAAGGGGGCUAGCGUUGUUCGGAAUUACUGGGCGUAAAGCGCACGUAGGCGGAUAUUUAAGUCAGGGGUGAAAUCCCAGAGCUCAACUCUGGAACUGCCUUUGAUACUGGGUAUCUUGAGUAUGGAAGAGGUAAGUGGAAUUGCGAGUGUAGAGGUGAAAUUCGUAGAUAUUCGGAAGAACACCAGUGGCGAAGGCGACUUGACUGGACACAGUAUUGACGC
This 225-nucleotide ribosomal RNA is filed under the name uncultured bacterium. Its description in RNAcentral is "partial 16S ribosomal RNA". It matches the Rfam family "Bacterial small subunit ribosomal RNA", at positions 524 to 746 of the family's 1533-position model. The record is from RNAcentral.